Molecule: long non-coding RNA, 2925 nt
Organism: Dermochelys coriacea (leatherback sea turtle)
Lineage: Eukaryota; Metazoa; Chordata; Testudines; Dermochelyidae
Exons: 5
Source: RefSeq, a predicted model, not a curated record
AUGGUUGAGAAAGUAACAGAGGCUGAUACAGGCAGGAAGCCUGGCAGUAAGCUAGGGAAGCUCAGGAGAUGCUGGUGCUGGUGCUGGUGGGAGGAGCAAGUUUGGCUCCAGCUGAGCCCUAGCCAGAUACAGCCUUGGUAUGGGAGUUAAAGAAGGGUAGGUGAAUUGAAAAAUGUUUUGGACUUGUGAGUUCUAUUUUUGUGACUGACUGUUGUCAGCCUGGGAGGAGAACUGGGGGAAUAAAAGGACUGAACUUAGAAAGUCACUGGAAGGCUUCAAAGUCUGAUAGCUGUGGAUGUUCAUUAGUAUCCCCCCUCCCUCCUAGAGAAGGUUUGUUCAGUAUAUUAGAGGAUGAUGUCAGUCUGUCACAGCAGCUUCUUCAAAAUGAGGGAGUUCUGGCACUGGAAACCAUCAGAUACUUUCACUGCAUCUGAGGUUGAAAGAUCAGCUGUUCAGGCAUUAGAAUCUGUUCAGACUUUGAUCUCUUUGGCUCCAAAUUGGAUCUGGUGGUCCUGAAAACGUCUUUUGGAAGAAAAUGUCACACAGCUAUGAGAGAAAACUAACAAACUGCAAAUUACAUUUGAUGGUCCUAAGAAUCUGCUGCACAAAAUUGCAGGGAAAAAGGUCCCUGAUCCCAUUGACAUCAAUUGGCAUUGGAUGGAGCCCUGACUUUGAAUCUAUUACUUUGGAAUUACCAGUCCUUUUUCCUGCCAAAUUCAGGAAGAUUGCAGAUGGAAAUAAAUGCACUAAAACUAUUUUCUCUUACUUCCCCACAGAUUGAACUAGAAAAACUUUUUUGUGAAAAAGGUCUUAAUGGACUAGAGGACAACUCUACAGUAGAUUCUCUGCUUGAAGAUUUGGAAUAGUAUAGUAACCUGUGCUCUUUUGCUUUAUAUUAACUAAGCAAUAUGUUUUAGCCAGCCUGUACUGCUUUCUUUGUGGGUCUUUUUUUUUUUAAAGGGAAUACUUUAGAUAUUUAAAUGUAAAGGCCCAGCUUUUUUUCUGAAGAUUUGUCUAGACUAAUUGAGCACUUUGCCAUGCUUUUUCUCUUUUUAGGAAAAGUUUCUUACUAAAUGUUGUCAAUUUAGGCCCCAGUUCUGCAAAGGUUUACUCACAUGCUUAAUUUUAUGCACAAUGAGCUGUCAAGCAUACGCAUAAUUUUUUUCAGAGAUGAGGUUUUAAUCUAUCCUGAGUCUAAUUCUGCCACACUUGAUGACAGUUCCUAACCACAUAAGCACCGAAGUCAAUGGGAUUUCUUGCAUAGUAGGAUGAGACUCAUCCUGAGUAAAAGUGGCAGAAUCUGGUCCUAAAUUAAUAUUGAGAAAUUAAGCUGAAAUAUUAAUACUUAAUUUUUGGCUUUUGAAUACAAGUUUAAGACCCAUUGAGUUCAAUAUGAAAUUAAGGUUUAAUGUAUACUACUUUAAUCUUAAAACAAUUUAUAAACUUUGUGAUUAUUUUUUUAAAGGUGAAUGUUGUGUAACAUAAUGAGCUAAAAGACAGAUUAUAAAUUCCGUACUCAAGGGAAUAAUCCCAGUGAAGUCAAUUCAGCAAAUCCUAUGAGUAACAGCUCACUAACAUAAGUAAGAUUCACAAACUGAUGCUAAUAAAAUAAUCCUUUUUUUUUCUCACUGUUAGCAUAACAGAACAUUCCUGUAUUUGCUGUUGCAAUUUCAGGAAAGGAAUGUUACCAUGGUUACAGGACUGGACUGAAUUCCUGUAUCUCAAUUGCUGAACACUUUUAUGACUAACCUCUCAGAUGCACCUUUCAGUUUCAAGAUGAAACUUUGAAGCUACACUAACCCCUUUGAGUUUUAAUCCCAUAAAACCCAGGGCUGAUACAUUAGGUAUUCCCCAAAUAGAUAAAAGGAAAUGUACAACUUGAUAGAGCACUGUACUAUAGCAAUGUCUGGCUGUGGUGCUGGCAUGUUUCUCAGAAAUUAUUUGGCUUUUAACACCUAAUGUUUUAAGAAACAUCAAAUACACUUUAUGGGUUUUUUCAAACUAACUUUAAAGUUAUAUAGUAAAUAGGAUCUGCUUCUAGCUGAGGAAAAACUUACUAUUACUCAUAAUGUCCGGAUCAUAAAAAGUCUUCUUUUUAGCUCUUCUUGUUCAGCUGUUAGUUUAAGAGCUGAAAGAUUCCUAGCUCAAGCCAUGACAGCAAUAGUGUACAGGUCAUGUUUACAACAAAUUGACUACAGGAUGGAGGCACUUCACUAAUUGUGACGAUAUGACCACCAGAUUGAAUGAACAGUUAACUUCUGAAGUGUUCUUAUGAGCAUAUCAAGCAUGUUGGAACAAUUUUGUAUAGUAGAGGUGUUGAGAGCCAUUGAACCAAACUGUAAACCCUGUAUAUAAUGUAAAGCACUUCAAACCAUGGGGUGCGGCAGCACCCCCAGUACUCCUAGUUCUAGCACCCAUGGAGCAUACAUUUCUGUGGGAACCUUUGGCUUUAAAUCUAAAUAGGGAUCAGUAAAGGUAAUUGCUUUGGACUCAAUACAUUGCUGAAGUCAUGUAGUUGUGAGAAUUGAAAUAAGAUUCUCCUGGCUGCCCAUAGGUGUCACCCAACACGGAAGCCUGGAUUUGAUUUUUUUUUUUUUUUUUUUUUUUUUUUUAAGGCACAACUUGAGCAAAGGCUGGAGGGUACACUGCAUAAACCCAGGAUUAUCACCAGGAGGCACUGUGACUCAGAUACAUCUCUAAGUCACAGUUCGUCUCCUGCUUUCUCCUUGGUUCUGCUGUAAACAACUACUCAUGCCUUUCUGGUGCAACUGCUUUGGUCAGUGACCGGAGGGAAGGAGUGGAACCAAAUCUCCAGUUAUUCCCUGCCCCUCCUCACCUAUUUGCUGCAAGGUAGGAGUAAGCAGUUAUACUUACCCCUAUGCGCAAGUACCCAAUAACUGGAUACCCUGAGAGAAGAAAAAUAUC